Molecule: unclassified non-coding RNA, 7477 nt
Filed under: Amphibalanus amphitrite
Lineage: Eukaryota; Metazoa; Arthropoda; Thecostraca; Balanomorpha; Balanidae
Description: golgin subfamily A member 4-like, transcript variant X2
Source: RNAcentral
CGGCUGGCUGGUGCGGCGCGGGCCCUGGUGCCGUGUGUGAGGGGUGGUGUGGUGACCGGUGGACAGAGUGGUGCUGGUGACGCUCGGAUACGACCUGGGCACUGCAGAGGAGAACAUCUGCUUCACUUAACGUCUUUCUUGGUCGGUGAAUGGCGGCCGUAUGACGUCAUGCCGCUAGCCAGCUGUCGCUGCUGACGUCAUGCUGAAGACCAAUGACCCGCUGUGCCCUCUGGGGUUCUACCCGCAGGUCCGCUGGCCAACCCGCUGCAAGCGCUGCUACAGGGAGUACAGCGAGCACAAGCAGAAGAGACCGGACAGUUCGACCAGUGGCCUUCGAAAGGACCGAACCACCGGCUCUUCUCCGUCCCUAAACACAGCCAAAGUUCUUGGCUCAGGUCCAUUGUCAGAUUUUGCUGACUAUGAGACGAGGUUGAAAAACUUCUUUGCCAGAAGGGAUGAGGCGGCCUCGAAGACCGAGACGGCAGCGGCAGCGUCCCGGUCCCUGCUGGCAGAAGAGGCGGCGAAAAACUACACCACCAAGUCAGCAGCCAGUCCUCUAUCCAGGAGACUGGGGGCGUACAGCGGCCUGAAGGCAUCCUCCUGGUCCGCCCACGACCUGCGUACUGUCGGAACUGACGACGACAGCGACACGGAGACCGUCAAGGAUAAGGAUGACGAUUUCAUGAGUGUAACCAGUCACGACGACGACACGUUCGCUUCAGCGCUGACAGCCCAGUCGCAGGCGCCACCGGUGCCGCCGAGGGUGACCGAGUCGCCGGCGGUGGCCGUCUCCGCUCCCCAGUCCUCCGCCUCCGCCGCGCCGCGCAAGAAGCUCUCCGUCCGAGAGGUGAAGACGGACAACCCCAGCAACGGCGUCAGCGCCGACGUCGCCUUCAUCAUCAAGCUGAAGAACGCCAAGAAGCCGGAGGAUGAUGACGACAUGAGCACGAUGGCGCCGUCGGAGGCCUCGGUAUGGACGGAUGCCACCGGUGGCACGGACACAACCGACACGACUCUCGUCGACGAGAAGAACCAGCAGCUGGAGAAGACGGUGUCCUCGCUGCAGAAGGAGCUUGACAAGUUCAAGAAGAAGGUCGACAGGCUCAACAAGGAGAAGAAGGAACUCAUGGAUAAACAAACGGCGGCCGUGAAAAAGUCGAAGUCUCAGUCGGAGGUGCUGAAACUGCAGCAGAAGAUGCACGAGCUGACAUCGUCCAAUGAAGAUCUCCUUGACGACAAGAAGAGCCUGGAACUGGAGGUGCUUGAAUUGAACAGGGAGCUCGGACUGCGCCCGUUGCCAGCGGAGGUGGACAAGACGCUGACAGACUUGCGGAUGCGCCUUUCGAAGGCAGAGAGUUUGGUAGAGGACCUCCAAGAAGAGAACGAAGAGCUGAAGGGACAGGUGAAAGACAUGGAGGAGGAAAUGGAAGAGAUACAUGAUAACUUUCGGGAAGAUCAAGCAGAAGAGUACCAUGAUCUCAAGCGGGAGCUGGAGCAAGCGAACAAAAAUUGCAGGAUUAUCCAAUUUAAACUAAGAAAAGCAGAGCGAAGCAAUGACGAGCUGAUUGGACAAAAGACGGCACUCGAAGAACAGCUAAAGAACUUGCAGAGUUCGGGAGCUGGAAAUUCCGAGAAGCUAGAAAAUGAGUUGAAGGUGGCGCAAGAAGUAUCGAAGAAACUGGGAGAAGAGGUAGAAAUGCUUCGAAAAAAGACAAAUUCUCUGGACGUUAGGCCACCCAUCAAAAGACAGUCUUCCGCUAGCGACGAGAACAAGCUGCUGCGGGACCUGCAGGACACGCUGGAGCGCGAGGCUGACCUCAAAGAGCAGAUGAAGUUCGCCGAGGAGGAGGCGGCGCAGCUCCGUAAGAAGCUCGUCAGGGUGGAGGAGGAGAACGAGAGUCUGGCCAUCCAGCUCAAGAAAAUGGCCAAGAAGGGCCGCCGACCGGCCAGCGGCGGCAGUCUGGACGGCCCCAGCUCCGUCUCGCACGACCGGGAUGAGGGCAUCUCGGAGGACAUCGAGGAGCUGUCCCCGCAGGAGCUCAAGAUACAGCUCGAGCUCAAUGAGAGAGAGACCAGCUCUCUUCGAAAGAAGGUGGACAACGUGGAGAGUGAGAACGAGCGGCUGCAGCGCCAGGUCAAGGAGCUCCAGGAGCGCAUGAGCCACGGCAGCAAGGCCACCAUUCCCGAGAUCAGCAUCAGCGACCCCAACGCCUACUAUGAACAGAAGAUCAAUGUUUUGGAGGAGGAGAUGAACGAGCUGCGGAAGAAGCUGAUAGACAAGGAGAGGGAGAACGAUUCCCUGAAGACCGAGGCCGAGAUGGGGCGGAGCAAGAAGGGUGGUAAGGUGAUCUACGCACGCAGCAGAUCGCUGGACAUCAAUGAGCUGCAGACGUCCGAUCUGCGACGGCAGCUGCAGCUGGCCGAACAGGAGGCCCAGCAGCUGCGCUCCAAGAACUCGGAGCUGGAGCGCGAGGCUGCCGACGCGGCCGUCGAGAGCCGCCGGCUGUCUGCCCGGCUGGCCAAGCGACCGGCCGCCACCGGCCCGGAGAAGCUGGCCAUGGAGAAGGCCGAGCUGGAGGAGCGUCUGAGCCGCGCCGAGCGCAGGCUCUCCGAGAAGGAGGCCACUAUCGGCGAGCUGCGGCGCGCUGUGAAAGAGGCGGCCUCUGGCGGCGACCAGAGCAGACUGAGCCCGAGCCGGUCGCCGCGAGAGGGCCGCCGCGCCGAGCGAAACAGUGAGGUGGAUGUGGAGGGACUGCGGCGAGAAAAGGACGCCCUGCAGAGUGAAAUGAAGAGUAAAGAGCGAGAACUCAGUGCGGCGAAAAAGAAAGUCAGUGAACUGUCGAGUGAGAAAGAGCGGUUGAGUGAUAUGGUGCGCAAGAUGAAAGACAUUCCUAAUUUGAAGACGCGUAUUCCGAAAAAGGUGACGGACUUGACCCCAAAGAAUACGUUGAAGAAGUGGGUAGAGGAGCUGGAGGACGAAAUAGCUGUUUGCGCUAUUCAGCUGAAGAAUAAUUCCAAUAAUGGUCAAGCUGCAAGUAGUUUUGGAAAAUCGAAGGAUGUAUUAGCACUUGAAGAGAAGGUAAAAGAGCUAACUACUUCCAUUGAUGAUUAUAAAAAGAACGUAACAAAGCUUGAAAGGGAAAAGGAAGACCUUGAAAUUGCUAAAAACGAGGCAGAAUCGGAAAAACUAGAAGCAGAAAAAGCAAAACAAAAGGCUGAAAAGGAGAAGACCAAAGUAGAAAAGGAGAAGAAACGUCUGGAGACCGAGUCAAGCUCUUCGUCAAAGGCGAUAGCGGACCAGACGAAAGCGCUCAGAACUCAGGUAGACAAGGUGUCAAAGGAGCUGGAGGAGGAGAAAAGUCAGCUCUCGUCGCUUAAACAGCAGCUUGAUCUCAAGGAACGCCAGCUGCAGAGGGCCAAGAAGGGGGAGGAAGCCAAGGACACUACUGAGAAAGAGCUCGCUGAUAAGGUUUUGGAGCUGACGGCCGCGGAAACAAAACUCCGAUCAAGCGACUCUAAGCUGAAGACUGCGGAGAAACAAGCAAAGGAGCUGCAAGAGAAACUCGAACUCACCAACUCUCAGCUGGCUGAAGCUCAGGAGCGGCUCCAGCAGCUCGAUACCAACCAGCGCAGCCUCUCCUCGCACUGGCUGACCGAGCGCGAGGACCUCAAGACCUCCGUGGACCGGCUCCAGGCACGGGUCACCGAGCUCGAGAAGACCAACGCAGAGAAACAGAAACGCAUCAAGGAGCUGGAGGAGAGCAAGGGCAAGGUAUCUUCUACAGCUGGAGGUGCUUCCAUUGCCAAAAUCGACGCCCUGCAGAAAGACAAGGCCAAAUUGGAGAAGCAGCUGAAAGAAUUCGAGGAAAAAAUCACUCAGCACGAGAAGAAGCAGCAUGCCGCCGAGGAGAAGGCAAGAAAACUGGAACAGCAGUACAAGAAGGAGAAGGAGGAGUGGGAAACUCAGCGGAAGUCAUCCCUCUCUGAUGGGACUUCCUCCAAAGAGCGAGUUGAAAAGUUGGAGGCAAACCUGGCUGAUCAAAUGCAGGAGUACGAGGAUCUCACACGAAAAUACGAACUCCUUGAAGAGGACUAUGUCGUCAUCAAGGCACAAAUGGUCAUGGAAAAGGAGCAAAUAGAAGGGGAGUUUACCACGCUGAAGCACGAGUAUGACACAGCCCAGCGGGAGCUGCGUACGCUGCGAGAGACCUACAACGCCAAACAGGAUCAGUGGAUCAAGGAUAAGCUCGACAUGGAGGAAAAGAUGAAGGAAGCGGACGAGAAGCUGAACCGCUCCGGGGGCGAGGCGUGGCGGCUGGAGAAGACGCGUCUCCAGGACCAGAUCAGCGACAAGGAGACAGAGAUCGCCCGCCUGAAAAAGGCCGAGGAGUUCUACAUGGACGAGAUCAGCUCCAUCAAACGAGAGGGUGACGAAAUGCGACGAAAGCUGGACGACUACAAUAUGGUCAGCAAGAUUCAGCGAAACCUCUCGGUGGACAACUCACACCUGGAAAAGGAAAUACGCGACCUCAAAACCAGGAUCGUUUCGGAGGAGAAGGCCCAUCGACAGGAAGUCAGCCACCUCAAAAUCAAACACGACUCCGGCCUGGCCAUCAUGAAGGACGAGCUUCACAGUCUCAACCAGCAGACCAGCAAGUACAAGCGGGAGCGGGACACCUACAAGACGAUGCUGGAGGGCGCUCAGAGGACCAUCGGUGACCUGAAGCGGAAGAGCCGCGCCCAGGAUGACGGAGGCGAUGCCGUCGAUUCCGCUGACCUGGCGGAGACGAACCAGCGCGUGCGGGAGCUGACCCUGCAGCUGACCAGUCUCGAGGACCAGCUGUCAGCCGCUCGUCUCGAGGCCAGCAAGCUCAGGACCGAGGCCACCACCGAGCGGUCCUCCUGGGAGAUUCGCGUCCACGACCUGCAGACCAAAAUCAACGAGCUGGAGGAGGACAGGAUCAUGUCGUCGGGUCACGCGCGUAUCUCCGGUAUACGAGCGCGCAUGGAGCUGGCCUGGAGCAAGGAGCGGGCUGAGCAUCAGAGGCUGAUCCAGGACACCUCAAAACUGGCUGAGGAGCUGAAAAACACCCUACAUGAGGUGGAGAGGCAGCUCGAAAACGAACGGGCCGAAUCGAAGCGGAAAGUGGAGCAGGUGAAGCGGUCAAUGGAGGAUGAGACUGUAGAUUCCAAGAGGAAAGCGAAGGAGCUGAACGAGGACCUGCUCGAGCUGCGGGACGCGCAUGCCAAGCUGCGCGAGAGCCACCGGCGGGUGGCGCGCGACAAGGAGAGAGCCGACCGCGAGCGCGAGGAGCUGCUGCAGCGCGUGCAGCACCUGCACAAGGUGGAGGCAGAGGAGGAGAGGAAGAUCACCCGACUGGUGGAACAGCUAGAGGAGCAGCUAGCGGUGCUGCACCAGGCCACCGAGCGCAUGGAGAAGCGACGCUCCGCUUCGCCAGCACCCGCCAAAGCCAGCCAGGUCGGAAAGGUGAACUCCCUGGCACCAUCAGUGGCAAAAGGUGCCAAAGCUGGCGGGCCUGCGAGACCUCCAGAGCCGGACAGGGCAGCGCACGAGUUUCAGGCGGCGGUGAAAGACAUCACGGCCAUGAUUGACGAGCUGCGGCUGACCCACUCGACCCUGAUGGAGGAGAAGGAGCGCGGCCGCUCCAAAGGCAUCCGCCAGCAAAACUACCGACGGUCGGCCUCGAUGGGCGACACGCUGUCCGAGGAGGGCUCGGAGACCCCCCGUCGCGCCGGCCGCUCGGCCUACCCCGCCCCGCCGGCCUCGCUGGUUUUGUCGGCACAGCGGCGCGGUGCCAGCCUGGGACGCAAGUCGCUCUCCAUGGGCCUGCGCGGCGACUCCCAGGACUCGAUCUACGAGCACGAUGAGGGCUCGAUGGAGUCCCUGGAUCCCUACACGUACACCACUCUGCCCAGGAAGAAACUGGAGCGUGACAUCAGCAUUGACCGCGUGUCGACUGGAUCCACACAGAGUGAAAUUAUCUCCGGGGUGAACCCCAUCAAGAAAAAGAAGGGGCUCAAGUCCCUACUGAAGGGUCUGGGACGUUCGAAAAGUAUCGAAGACUCGGACACGGGACAGACUAUCGCCGGAGCCGGACUGCAGGCAAUGGCCACCGGAAUGCAGGGCUCCGGAUCGGAUCUAUCCGACAUUAGCGCCAGCAUUCAGGAGAAGGAGAAAAAGGGGCUCAAGGGAAAGUUCAGCAAGCUGUUCAAGACGCCGCCACCGUCCCGGUCGCAGAGGUGUUAUGUGUCCCCUACCUGGCAUCGCAGCUUACACAAUGGCUUAGACCAGAUAGACGAGCAUUGAACGCGGCCCACGGGACAGCGCCAGUGCCACGGCGGCCCGGGACGCACCCCCGGCGGCUCCUGCACGACGCAGCAAGGCCUCGCCGAGCCCGGAGACGCGGCCCAAGAAUCCACUGAACGCCAGGGCCCCUCCGGCGCCGGCUAUCCAGAUCAACAGCCAACCGUUCACCCGCGCACCGCUCGGCGUUCCCGGAAGUGCCCUGAGCGCGUCGCGAUCGUCCCCGACCGGAGACGCCAGGACGGCAGCUCCCAAACCGUCCCUGGGUCCAGCCUCCUUCAGCCAAGCGCGCGCCAUGUUCCAGUCGUGAUCGCAGUGGGGUCACAGCAGCAAAGGGACAGUGUCAGUGUGGAGCCGCGGCCUCCUGGCAGACUCUGAGGUUCGAGUGGCCGCCUGGACAUGAGGCUGUCGUUGCCUUGCCACGUCGCGGUUCCCGAGUGAACGUGUUGCAGUUGUCGCAGGUGAAAGUUAUGCCGCAGAGAUUUGGCAGAAAAUGAGGACUGUGCGCGUACCAGACAUCAGUGUCUGUCAGUGAUGGUUGGUCGCAAUGUUUCCGACCGUGCGAUUGUUACUUGGUGCCCGUUAUUGGACAAUGUUGCAUAAGGAAACAACACGUCCCGUACUGAAUUGGUUAUCAUUUGUAGCUACCCAAACAAACCCAAACAUGCGUCAUUCAGACCGAGUGAGGAGCUCUGGAUUGUUCUCCCUCCAGCCGGCUGCCACGCGUAGCUAUUGCCAGGUGUGGAGUAUGAUGCACGACAACACGAUGUAUGAUGAUAUGAUGAUGUAGCAGAGACGCGGGCAGUCGCAGCUCUCGGGCAUCUCUCGUAUGUUCCCCCGCCGCUCCCGACACCGCUGCUCAACUGGAGGGACGAGCGACGACGGCAUGCCGACCAACAUGUUCGCGACCCGGCCCCACAGACUAGUGCCCCUCUGCGGCGGCCAGUCGACGCAGCGAGGCGACCCGUACAAGGGUGGGAUAUAGGCAAGGGUGGCUGUCAUCAGUGCCAAAUGAAUGAAUGCAAUGUCGGCAAGGGGCUGAUGCUCGGUGCUGGAACAUUAGGGAAAGUGUAAUGAAUAGGAAACGGCAUCUGAAUCUGCUGCCCAGCGCGGUAUGUGGAUCUUAAUACACAGCUACUAUGUUUCCCUACA